ACAUCUUUUUUUCACGAAGUCUGAUAGUUCAGAGAAGCACAACAGUAGAAUUGAAGAAACAAGUAGCAGCUGGUGCCCACGCUCACCAAUGGUUGCAUCACAUCUUUUGUUCGCAAAGUCUGAUAGUUCAAAUGUGAAAUUAGGUCUUGAGCUUAACUUAAACUCCAAAAGCUAGGUCAAAGGAAGGAGAAUUACUCAAGCCUCCCAUCUCAUUAACUAUCAACGUGAGACACUCUCAGUAAUACAGAGAGAGGAUUAGAAGUGUAAGAGAGAAUAUCUCAUUUCGAUAUUUUGUGUAUUGAAUGAUGUGUUGUAUAUGUGUAUGUACACACAGUUAGUUGACGAACUCUUUAAUUUACUUUUGGAAUAAUUCUUCACUAACUACUUCACUAACUAAUUUUAGCUAAUGACUCAUAUUAUCAAUUACACAGUUACCCUCUAAGACAUAGCUUUUAGCUAGUUUUGAGAUCACUAAUAUUAACAAAAUAUCUAUAAAAAAAAGGAGCUAGAAGAUAUGCAGUUUCACAAGUGAUUCAUUCCGAUAAACGAGAGAUUUAGAGGGUAUUUGGAUCGACUUAAAAGUUGAUCAAGCCUACUUUUAAGAUAGUUUUGACUUCUGGAAGUAUUUGAUAAGUAUAAAAAUAACUUAAAAUAAGUAAAAAAAUCACUUAAAGUAAGUUAGGAAGUGUUUGACAAGAUUAAAAAUAUCUUAAAAUAAGUUUAAAAUGAUAAGUUAAAAACCAAAAGUAGGUUUCCUCUACUUUUUAUUUCUUGACUUAAAAGUCAUUUAAAUUUGACUUUUUAUUUUUGACUUAAAAACUACUUUUUAAGUCAAUCCAAACGGGCUCAGUUGCAAAUUACAAAUGUUAUUUAAUUACCUCACUAUUUUCACUGAAAUUUGCCAAAAGCAUUAUUGAACAUCUGUGAAUGAAGCACAUGAGAUAACAGUAUAUAAAGUCAUUUUUUUCUAUUCAUUCAAAUUAUAAGUGUGAAUCGAAAAUCAUUUCCAUCACCUUUUAGUAUAUCCUUCUUCCUUAUAUGAUCAUUCCAAAUGCAGAUGCUCUGCGAUGAGUAUAGCUUCAAAUUAAUUUAUAUGAAUAUACUUACACUGUUAUAAAAAUCUACGUUUCGAUCAUUUUUUUAGGAUGUAUUUGAGUAAGGUAUAUUAAAUGUAUAAAAUUAAAUUUAAAUUGUAUAGACCAAACUAGUCUUGGGAACGUGCGUUGCACGUUUGUCCCCCUAUUACUAUAUAAAAUUUGUAGCCAGUAUAAAAUCCUCAGUUGUAAAUUUAAAAUUAUAUAUUCAUCCACAUGUACAUAAUUUUUCUCAGACUGUAUACAUACUUGUUAAAGGAGUAGAUAUUAUGUCCCGAUAUCUUGAAUUUGUAAACAAAGGAUUCAUUACUAUAAUUGAAAUGCUAGAUUCUCUAGUUACACAAGAAACAAAAAAUUUAAGACUGUCAAGAAAAAUGAUAAUAGAAAAAGGAAAAUUUUAAGUCAAGAUCUAAUUUCAUUGUAUGUGUAUAAAUAAGAGAAAGUGUAUUUAAUUCAAGAAAGCACAGUUUUUUUCUUUGAUUUGGAGAGGAAAACAGAACAUCCACCAAUAAACACCAUUCAACCACUGUAUAUUUUCUUGGACAAUUUCAAUAGAAGCAAAGGAAAUGUACCAGUUUCCAUCUCCUUGCUCCUGCUCUUUCAAACAUAGGAAUUUCAUUCUUAUAAAUAUUUGUCAUCUACUCCACCCAGAUUUUUCAUUGUUGAGUUUAUGUGAUUACCAUUAGUCGACUCUCCAAGCUAAAGCCAUUUCAUUGACAAAAGGAGGCAGUCUGAGUGGAGCAACAAAUAUCAAAACCAAAAUUUCCAACACAUUACAAAACAUGGCAGAUUGGGAACAUUCUAGCGUCUAAAAGUGACAUCCAUAUGCAGUAAGACAUUAAGAAAUUAUUUCACCAAGAGCACCAUUUUCUAGAUCCAAGAAUAGCAAUAUGGACUUGAUGUCCCUCUAGUUUGGACAUCAAAAAAUCUGAAUAUAAUAGGAAACAAAGCAAUAACAAUUGAUUUUUGGUUAUGAAAUAUUAAUAUGGAUGUCCCCGAAUAUUCUCUAUGAUGUAUAGUUAAUCCUUCACUACAUACAUCAUAAUGAAUAGAACUUUCACACCCUCUAACUUUUCCCAUAAUCUCCCAUGUUAAUGCUAUGUUAUAACAACCUUUUGUAUGCCUCUAUCAAUACUAUAUAUAGAGGCUCAUAUUGUGUACACUUGAACAUACUUAUUGAAAGAAUAAGAAAUCGCUCUUCUCUUAUCUCCGUGUUUCUAUUGCUUUAAUAACGAAGGGUCUAAGACAUUGUGUUUGAUGGUGAAGAAAGAAAGUGUUGAGACGAAAAUGGUUAUCAUAAAGGUUUUUUUCUUUCUUUUUUUCUUCCGUCAAUUCAUAGUGAAAUUCUUGAUUAUCAAGCACACUAACGAAAAUAUUAAAUUUACUUGAGAAAACGGAGUUAAGUAGGAAAAAGAACACUGAAGCAAAGUUAAAUAGACUGAUCUAAAUAAUUUUAAGGGAAUUCAUUUUUAUAGCUCAUAUUAACAUCAUGGCACAUAACAACUCUGGGAAAAAGUUAGGUUGUUGAUUGAAAAAUUCAAUUUGCUACAAGAAAUCAUCGAGUUCAUACAUACGAUGGCAACCAUCAUUUUCUUAUGGCAUCACUACUGAGAUCACUUCUACACCACCAUAUGCAACAAAGCCUCAUUAGAAAAGUGAAAUUAUCCUCUAGGCAUCGUAGUCACACAGGAAAAAGGACUCUAUUUUUUUUUCCAGUAUAUUGGUUUAGGAAAAAAAAAAAAAAGAGAACUAUGUACCUAUCCUUACACGUGUUUCCAAAUAACUGGUUCUUGAAAGACAAACUAUUUGGACGCAUCCUUCAUUUGGUUAGCAAUUCCUGCUUCGUUUGCUCAGCCAUUUUAGAUAAAUCUUAUAUUCUCCUCGAGGUCCUUACAACAAAUCUUUGGAAACCUGAAGAUCAAUUCUUGAUGCCAUUUAAAAGUACUUCAAGCUCACUUUUUGACACCAUUUAAAUUGAAGCAAGUCAUAGUAUCAUGAGAGAAAAAUAAAAAUAAGUUAACAUGAUAUAGUCCCAAAAAGGAAAAAGAAAUUAAGAAACCAUAGAAAAACAGAUACCAAAACAACCAUUUGUUAUCAUCUACUAUUAUUCAAGAUUUAAUCAAACAAAAUAGAAAAGAAAACGGGAUAAAAAAUAUACCAGGCCCGAGAGCAUGGCCGUAAUUCUUGAAGCGACCCAUCUCCACAAGUAGAAGUUGCGCUUGGAUCAGUAUAUGAAUCCUAAUUACUGAGGAGAUCUAUUUCAGACUUUUGAUUUCUGAAAAGAUGUGUAGCGGUAUUGGAGAUGAAACGGUCAUAACUCCUGGGAAUUUGAAGUGACGGCUAACUGUAUAUGAUGAUUAGAAUUAGUAUAAUAAUUUAUUAAUAUAAUAAGAUUAUUAUUUAAUAAUUAAUUAAUUAAUGUUUUCAUUUUUUAUUUAGUUGAAGGGUGAAAUGGUAAUUCAACUUUUGAUUUAGAUUCUUCCCACUUUUAAUAAUAUA
This 3593-nucleotide long non-coding RNA is filed under the name Solanum tuberosum (potato). RNAcentral's name for it is "long non-coding RNA (STUB_LNC003264)". The record is from RNAcentral. Lineage: Eukaryota; Viridiplantae; Streptophyta; Magnoliopsida; Solanales; Solanaceae.